GUCAAAUAUAUUAAGGCUUAUGACGGAUACCUAGGCAUUCAGAGGCGAUGAAGGGCGUGGAUACCGACGAAACGCUUCGGGGAGUUGGAAACAAGCGGUGAUCCGAAGAUACCCGAAUGGGGAAACCUGUAAAACUUCUUAUUGAAUUCAUAGAUAAGGAAGAGACAACUUGCUGAAUUGAAACAUCUUAGUAAGCAAAGGAAAAGAAAGCAAACGCGAUUUCCUGAGUAGCGGCGAGCGAAACGGAAACAGCCUAAACCUAUUGAAUUUAUUCAGUAGGGGUCGUGGGAAGAAAUGUCAUAAGGCACAUAAAAAUCGAAAAUCAAGCAGCUGAAUCCUGCACCAAAGAAGGUGAAAGUCCUGUAGUUGAAAGAUUUUUAGGUCUAUUUCUAAUCCCGAGUAGCAUGGGACACGUGAAAUCCCGUGUGAAUUUGCGAGGACCACCUCGUAAGGCUAAAUACUCCUGAAUGACCGAUAGUGAAAUAGUACCGUGAGGGAAAGGUGAAACAGAACCCCCGUAGGGGAGUGAAAAAGAACAUGAAAUCAUAAGCUGACAAACAGUGGGAGCUUAGGUGACCGCGUGCCUGUUGAAGAAUGAGCCGGCGACUUAUAGGGAGUGGCUUGGUUAAGAUGAUCAGUCGGAGCCAAAGCGAAAGCAAGUCUGAAUAGGGCGUUUGUCACUUCUUAUGGACCCGAACCCGAGUGAUCUAACCAUGGCCAGGAUGAAACUUGGGUAACACCAAAUGGAAGACCGAACCGACCGAUGUUGAAAAAUCGGCGGAUGAGCUGUGGUUAGGGGUGAAAUUCCAGUCGAACUCGGAGCUAGCUGGAUCUCCUCGAAAUGUGUUGAGGCGCAGCGGUUGAUGAUGGGUUAUUUAGGGGUAAAGCACUGUUUCGGUGCGGGCUGCGAAAGCGGUACUAAAUCGUCGCAAACUAAGAAUACUAAAUACGCUUUCCAUCAACCAGUAAGACAGUGGGGGAUAAGCUUCAUUGUCAAAAGGGAAACAGCCCAGACCACCAGCUAAGGCCCCUAAAUGGCCGCUAAGUGGCAAAGGAGGUGAAAAGGCCGAGACAACCAGAAGGUUUGCUUAGAAGCAGCCAUCCUUAAAAGAGUGCGUAAUAGCUCACUGGUAGAGCCUUUUUGCGCCGAAAAUGAACGGGACUAAGCGGCCUGCCGAAGCUGUGGGAUUGAAAACAUUUUGAAUCGGUAGAGGAGCGUUCCGCUCUAGGGUGAAGUUUAAACGUGAGUUUGAAUGGACGACGCGGAAGUGAGAAUGUCGGCUUGAGUAACGCAAACAUUGGUGAGAAUCCAAUGUCCCGAAAACCUAAGGGUUCCUUUACAAGGCUCGUCCAUGAAGGGUUAGUCAGGUCCUAAGGCGAGGUCGAAAGGCGUAGUCGAUGGCAAACAGGUUAAUAUUCCUGUACUUUUUUUCAUUUGAUAACGAAGGACGAAGAAGGUUACGGCUAGCAGAGAUUUGGAAUUCUCUGUAGAAAUAAUCAAGUGGCAAUCGAAUAAAAACGAUUGAAAAAACGAGACAUGACAUGCUUUUUUUCUCGGAAAAAAGUUAGCUUACAUCAAACUUCCAAGAAAAGCUCGUAUUAUUUUACAAUGAAAAAAACCUGUACCCGAAACCGACACAGGUAGGUAGGUAGAGAAUACUAAGGGACGCGAGAUAACUCUCUCUAAGGAACUCGGCAAAAUGGCCCCGUAACUUCGGGAGAAGGGGUGGCUACUCGUAAGAGAGCUCGCAGUGACCAGGCCCAGGCGACUGUUUAUCAAAAACACAGGUCUCCGCAAAGUUGUAAAACGAAAUAUGGGGGCUGACGCCUGCCCAGUGCCGGAAGGUAAAGGAAGUUGGUUAUUCGAUAAGAAAAAGCUGACGACCGAAGCCCCGGUAAACGGCGGCUGUAACUCUGACAGUCCUAAGGUAGCGAAAUUCCUUGCCAAGUAAGUUUUGGCCCGCACGAAAGGCGUAACGAUCUGGGCGCUGUCUCGGAGAGAGACUCGGUGAAAUAGACAUGUCUGUGAAGAUGCGGACUACUUAUACCAGGACAGAAAGACCCUAUGAAGCUUGAAGGUAGCUUGGAAUUGGGUUUGGGCUCUUUUUGCGCAGUCUAAGUGGGAGGCGAAGAGGAUACGGUUUCGGCUUUAUCUGAGCCAUCAGUGAGAGACCACUCUAAAAGAGCUAGAAUCCUAAUAGGACUCCUUGAAACAGGAUCCUUGACCGUUUCAGGCGGACCUUUUUUCUGGGGCGGAUGCCUGCUAAAAGGUAACGGAGGUGUGCAAAGGUUCCCUCAGGCUGGACGGAAAUCAGCUGUAGAGUGUAAAGGUAGAAGGGAGCUUGACUGCAAGACCUACAAGUCGAGCAGGGGCGAAAGCCGGCCUUAGUGAUCCGACGGUACCAAGUGGAAGGGCCGUCGCUCAACGGAUAAAAGUUACUCUAGGGAUAACAGGCUGAUCUCCCCCAAGAGUUCGCAUCGACGGGGAGGUUUGGCACCUCGAUGUCGGCUCAUCGCAACCUGGGGCUGUAGUCGGUCCCAAGGGUUGGGCUGUUCGCCCAUGAAAGCGGUACGUGAGCUGGGUUCAGAACGUCGUGAGACAGUUCGGUCCAUAUCCGGUAUAAGCGCAAGAGCAUUGAGAGGAGCUCAACAUUGUACGAGAGGACCCGAAGGGACGUACCGAUGGUGUACCAGUUCUUGUGCCAACAGGAAACGCUGGGUAGCUAAGUACGGAGUGGAUAAUCGCUGAAAGCAUCUAAGUGAGAAGCCUACCUCAAGAUGAAUGCUCUUUAUUAGAUCGCGGCAAGACAAGCCGAUAAUAGGCGCCAAGUGUAAGAUCUGUAAGGGUUUGAGCUGAGGCGUACUAAGAGAUCAAUCAAUUUUGAC
This 2886-nucleotide ribosomal RNA is filed under the name Hazenia capsulata. RNAcentral describes it as "LSU rRNA". It matches the Rfam family "Bacterial large subunit ribosomal RNA". The record is from RNAcentral. Lineage: Eukaryota; Viridiplantae; Chlorophyta; Ulvophyceae; Ulotrichales; Hazeniaceae.